ACGAACGCUGGCGGCGUGCCUAACACAUGCAAGUCGAACGCGAAAGCCUGGGCAACUGGGCGAGUAGAGUGGCGCACGGGUGGGUAACACGUGGGUAACCUACCCUCGAGUGGGGAAUAACUCCUCGAAAGGGGAGCUAAUACCGCAUAAGACCACGACCUCUUCGGAGGUUGCGAUCAAAGGUGGCCUCAUCAUGCAGAGCGUUUGGGAGCCCUCUUCCAAUGGGGAGGAGGCUUCCCAGCGCUUUGUCCAGUGAAGCUGCCGCUCGAUGAGGGGCCCGCGUCCCAUCAGCUAGUUGGUAGGGUAACGGCCUACCAAGGCGACGACGGGUAGCUGGUCUAAGAGGACGACCAGCCACACGGGAAUUGAGAUACGGUCCCGACUCCUACGGGAGGCAGCAGUGGGGAAUCUUGGGCAAUGGGGGAAACCCUGACCCAGCGACGCCGCGUGGGGGAUGAAGGCCUUCGGGUUGUAAACCCCUGUUAGGUGGGACGAACCUCUCUUCACCAAUAGUGAAGAGAGCUGACGGUACCACCAGAGAAAGCCCCGGCUAACUCCGUGCCAGCAGCCGCGGUAAUACGGAGGGGGCUAGUGUUGUUCGGAAUUACUGGGCGUAAAGGGCGCGCGGGCGGCUUGGCAAGUCGAGUGUGAAAUCCCUUGGCUUAACUGAGGAACGGCGCUCGAAACUACCUCGCUAGAGGGCGGGAGAGGGAAGUGGAACUCUCGGUGUAGGGGUGAAAUCUGUAGAUAUCGAGAGGAACACCGGUGGCGAAGGCGGCUUCCUGGCCCGUACCUGACGCUGAGGCGCGAAAGCGUGGGGAGCAAACAGGAUUAGAUACCCUGGUAGUCCACGCCGUAAACUAUGGAUGCUAGCUGUAAGAAGUAUCGACCCUUCUUGUAGCGAAGCUAACGCGUUAAGCAUCCCGCCUGUGGAGUACGGUCGCAAGACUAAAACAUAAAGGAAUUGACGGGGACCCGCACAAGCGGUGGAGCGUGUUGUUUAAUUCGAUGGUAAGCGAAGAACCUUACCCAGGUUUGACAUCCCGAGAAGGUUUCCGAAAGGAAAUUGUGCCGUAAGGAAUUCGGUGACAGGUGUUGCAUGGCCGUCGUCAGCUCGUGUCGUGAGAUGUUAGGUUAAGUCCUUCAACGAGCGCAACCCUUAUAGUUAGUUGUAUUUUUCUAGCUAGACUGCCCUGGCAACAGGGAGGAAGGAGGGGAUGAUGUCAGGUCAGUAUUACCCUUACACCUGGGGCUACAAACACGCUACAAUGGCCGGUACAAAGGGCAGCCAAGUCGCAAGACGGAGCAAAUCCCAUCAAAACCGGUCCAAGUUCGGAUUGCAGGCUGAAACUCGCCUGCAUGAAGCUGGAAUCGCUAGUAACGGUAGGUCAGCACACUACCGUGAAUACGUU
RNAcentral lists this ribosomal RNA (1412 nucleotides) under uncultured bacterium. RNAcentral's name for it is "partial 16S ribosomal RNA". It matches the Rfam family "Bacterial small subunit ribosomal RNA", at positions 29 to 1372 of the family's 1533-position model. The record is from RNAcentral.